RNAcentral lists this ribosomal RNA (1161 nucleotides) under Campylobacter jejuni. RNAcentral's name for it is "partial 23S ribosomal RNA". It matches the Rfam family "Bacterial large subunit ribosomal RNA", at positions 1762 to 2925 of the family's 2925-position model. Lineage: Bacteria; Pseudomonadati; Campylobacterota; Epsilonproteobacteria; Campylobacterales; Campylobacteraceae. The record is from RNAcentral.
CGAAAGCAAGGAAACUUACAACAAAGAGUCCCUCCCGACUGUUUACCAAAAACACAGCACUCUGCUAACUCGUAAGAGGAUGUAUAGGGUGUGACGCCUGCCCGGUGCUCGAAGGUUAAUUGAUGGGGUUAGCAUUAGCGAAGCUCUUGAUCGAAGCCCGAGUAAACGGCGGCCGUAACUAUAACGGUCCUAAGGUAGCGAAAUUCCUUGUCGGUUAAAUACCGACCUGCAUGAAUGGCGUAACGAGAUGGGAGCUGUCUCAAAGAGGGAUCCAGUGAAAUUGUAGUGGAGGUGAAAAUUCCUCCUACCCGCGGCAAGACGGAAAGACCCCGUGGACCUUUACUACAGCUUGACACUGCUACUUGGAUAAGAAUGUGCAGGAUAGGUGGGAGGCUUUGAGUAUAUGACGCCAGUUGUAUAUGAGCCAUUGUUGAGAUACCACUCUUUCUUAUUUGGGUAGCUAACCAGCUUGAGUUAUCCUCAAGUGGGACAAUGUCUGGUGGGUAGUUUGACUGGGGCGGUCGCCUCCCAAAUAAUAACGGAGGCUUACAAAGGUUGGCUCAGAACGGUUGGAAAUCGUUCGUAGAGUAUAAAGGUAUAAGCCAGCUUAACUGCAAGACAUACAAGUCAAGCAGAGACGAAAGUCGGUCUUAGUGAUCCGGUGGUUCUGUGUGGAAGGGCCAUCGCUCAAAGGAUAAAAGGUACCCCGGGGAUAACAGGCUGAUCUCCCCCAAGAGCUCACAUCGACGGGGAGGUUUGGCACCUCGAUGUCGGCUCAUCGCAUCCUGGGGCUGGAGCAGGUCCCAAGGGUAUGGCUGUUCGCCAUUUAAAGCGGUACGCGAGCUGGGUUCAGAACGUCGUGAGACAGUUCGGUCCCUAUCUGCCGUGGGCGUAAGAAGAUUGAAGAGAUUUGACCCUAGUACGAGAGGACCGGGUUGAACAAACCACUGGUGUAGCUGUUGUUCUGCCAAGAGCAUCGCAGCGUAGCUAAGUUUGGAAAGGAUAAACGCUGAAAGCAUCUAAGCGUGAAGCCAACUCUAAGAUGAAUCUUCUCUAAGCUCUCUAGAAGACUACUAGUUUGAUAGGCUGGGUGUGUAAUGGAUGAAAGUCCUUUAGCUGACCAGUACUAAUAGAGCGUUUGGCUUAUCUUUAAUAAAGCAU